AUUGAGCUGCAUAGCUCAGUUGAUUAGAGCAUGGUGCUGAUAAUGUCAAGGUUGCAGGUUCAAUCAGCUGAAUAUUCCUGGGUUUAACA
Podarcis lilfordi (Lilford's wall lizard) is the source of this 89-nucleotide non-coding RNA. NCBI's taxonomy places the organism in Eukaryota, Metazoa, Chordata, Lepidosauria, Squamata, Lacertidae. The record is from the annotation of a GenBank genome assembly.